This 245-nucleotide ribosomal RNA is filed under the name uncultured bacterium. RNAcentral describes it as "partial small subunit ribosomal RNA". It matches the Rfam family "Bacterial small subunit ribosomal RNA", at positions 26 to 285 of the family's 1533-position model. The record is from RNAcentral.
AGAAUCAACGCUGGCGGCGUGCCUAACACAUGCAAGUCGAACGAGAAAGUGGAGCAAUCCAUGAGUAAAGUGGCGACCGGGUGAGUAACACGUGACUAACCUACCUUCGAGUGGGGAAUAACCUCGGGAAACCGGGGCUAAUACCGCAUAACAUCCACGGAUCAAAUGCGUAAGCAGCUUGAGGAGGGGGUCGCGGCUGAUUAGCUAGUUGGCGGGGUAAUGGCCCACCAAGGCAGUGAUCAGUA